Molecule: long non-coding RNA, 710 nt
Organism: Erinaceus europaeus (western European hedgehog)
Lineage: Eukaryota; Metazoa; Chordata; Mammalia; Eulipotyphla; Erinaceidae
Exons: 2
Source: RefSeq, a predicted model, not a curated record
GGCGGGCUCCUGGGCCGGCGCUCCAGGGGGACCCCGCGCCUGCUCAGCUGCAGAACCGAACCGGCACCUGCCAGGAGGUUCCCAGCCAAACAGACACCAAGUUGCAGAUGCUACCAUGAUGCCAACCUGACUUCCCUGGGCAGACGACCUCACCAAUGUACUCUGGAACCCCGUAUCUCUGGAGCCCUGCCCCACUAGGGAAACACAGAAACAGGCUGGGAGUAUGGAUUCACCUGCCAAUGUCCAUGUCCAGUAAAGCAAUUGCAGAAGCCAUAACUCCCACCUUCUGCACCCCAUAAUGACCCUGGGUCCAUACUCCCAGAGGGAUAAAGAAUAAAAAAGCUUCCAAGCACAAGGACCGGCGUAAGGAUCCCGGUUCGAGCCCCCGGCUCCCCACCUGCAGGGGAGUCGCUUCACAGGCGGUGAAGCAGGUCUGCAGGUGUCUGUCUUUCUCUCCCUCUCUCUGUCUUCCCCUCCUCUCUCCAUUUCUCUCUGUCCUAUCCAACAACAGCAGCAAUAGUAAUAACUACAACAAUAAAACAACAAGGGCAACAUAAGGGAAAAAAUAAACAAAUAGAAAAGCUUCGACAUGGAACUCUGGUGGUGGGAAAUGUGUGGAAUUUUACCCCCCUUUAUCCUAUGGCUUUGUCGAUAUUUUCUAUUUUUUAUUUUAUAAGUUAAAUAGAUACAUAAAUAGGGCUGUCCUAGUA